CCUACGGGAGGCAGCAGUUGGGAAUUUUGCACAAUGGACGAAAGUCUGAUGCAGCAACGCCGCGUGCGGGAUGAAGAUUUUCGGAUUGUAAACCGCUUUUAUUUGGGAGUAACUGUUUGAACGUACCAAAUGAAUAAGCACCGGCUAACUCCGUGCCAGCAGCCGCGGUAAUACGGAGGGUGCAAACGUUGUCCGGAAUUACUGGGCGUAAAGCGCAUGUAGGUGGUCUAAUAAGUGAACGAUUAAAUACCGACGCUUAACGUCGGAAAGGUUAUUCAUACUGUUAGACUCGAGGAAGACAGGGGCAGAUGGAACUUUAAGUGUAGGAGUGAUAUCCGUAGAUAUUUAAAGGAACACCAAUGGCGAAGGCAGUCUGCUGGGUCUUUUCUGACACUGAGAUGCGAAAGUGUGGGGAGCAAACGGGAUUAGAUACCCCGGUAGUCCACACUGUAAACGAUGCUCACUAGGUCUUGGAGGGUAUCGACCCCCUUUUGGACCGAAGCUAACGCGUUAAGUGAGCCGCCUGGGGAGUCGAACGCAAGUUUAAAACCNAAUNAUAGAGCGNGAGANGCGACGCGACACGAGGGAGAGG
RNAcentral lists this ribosomal RNA (592 nucleotides) under uncultured bacterium. RNAcentral describes it as "bacterial SSU rRNA". It matches the Rfam family "Bacterial small subunit ribosomal RNA", at positions 338 to 950 of the family's 1533-position model. The record is from RNAcentral.